RNAcentral lists this ribosomal RNA (804 nucleotides) under Triticum aestivum (bread wheat). RNAcentral's name for it is "partial small subunit ribosomal RNA". Lineage: Eukaryota; Viridiplantae; Streptophyta; Magnoliopsida; Poales; Poaceae. The record is from RNAcentral.
CAGUCAAGAUGUGCCCAGAAAUGGAUCUUGAAGGCCGAUGCGAACACGGCCUACUUCCAGGCCAUAGCGAAUGGUCGCCGCAGACGCAAUACCAUCCCCCUCCUUUGGGAUGGCGCAACACUGCUGCAGUCCCCCUGCGACAUUAGAGCCCAUGUCGGUGGAUUCUAUAGGUCCCUUUUCUCAGCCGCUCCUCGGAGCGGCUUAUCUCUGGCCCAUGACUGCUGGUCCGGCCACCAGCGAGUCUCCGAUGCGAAGAACGCGGCCCUUACGGCCCCCUUCUCCGAGGGCGAGGUCUGGGCCGCCAUUAGCGGCAUGAAUCCCACCUCGGCCACGAGCCCUGAUGGCCUCCCGAUGAAAUUCUUCCAGACAUUCUGGAAUGUGAUCAAACCUGAGAUCAUGGCCAUCUUUGACGAGUUCUAUGUUGGGUCCAUCGACCUCGUGCGCCUCUACUACGGGAUCAUUUCGCUCAUCCCAAAGGUUCCUGGGGCAGCCGACAUCCACCAGUUUCGUCCGAUCACGGUGAUUAAUGUGAUCUUACGGAUUAUGGCAAAAGGUUACGCCAAUAGGGUGACCCUUCUUGCUGAUCUCAUUACCCACCCCAACAAAUCCACCUUCAUUCAAGGACGGUACAUUCUGGAUGGGGUGCUAGUCCUUCAUGAAGUCCUGCACGAGGUCUGAUCCAAACACCUCAAGGCGGUCUUCCUGAAGAUGAUUUCCACAAGGCGUACAACACUGUUAGCUGGCCCUUCCUUCGGGAAGUUUUUCUCCGGAAAGGCUUCGACGAGCGAUGGAUCACCAGAGUGA